GCAGUCGAACGAUGAUGCCCAGCUUGCUGGGCGGAUUAGUGGCGAACGGGUGAGUAAUACGUGAGUAACCUGCCCUUGACUCUGGGAUAAGCCUGGGAAACUGGGUCUAAUACUGGAUACUACCUCUUACCGCAUGGUGGGUGGUGGAAAGGGUUUUACUGGUUUUGGAUGGGCUCACGGCCUAUCAGCUUGUUGGUGGGGUAAUGGCUCACCAAGGCGACGACGGGUAGCCGGCCUGAGAGGGUGACCGGCCACACUGGGACUGAGACACGGCCCAGACUCCUACGGGAGGCAGCAGUGGGGAAUAUUGCACAAUGGGCGGAAGCCUGAUGCAGCGACGCCGCGUGAGGGAUGACGGCCUUCGGGUUGUAAACCUCUUUCAGUAGGGAAGAAGCGAGAGUGACGGUACCUGCAGAAGAAGCGCCGGGCUAACUACGUGCCAGCAGCCGCGGUAAUACGUAGGGCGCAAGCGUUGUCCGGAAUUAUUGGGCGUAAAGAGCUCGUAGGCGGUUUGUCGCGUCUGCUGUGAAAGCCCGGGGCUCAACCCCGGGUCUGCAGUGGGUACGGGCAGACUAGAGUGCAGUAGGGGAGACUGGAAUUCCUGGUGUAGCGGUGAAAUGCGCAGAUAUCAGGAGGAACACCGAUGGCGAAGGCAGGUCUCUGGGCUGUUACUGACGCUGAGGAGCGAAAGCAUGGGGAGCGAACAGGAUUAGAUACCCUGGUAGUCCAUGCCGUAAACGUUGGGCACUAGGUGUGGGGGACAUUCCACGUUUUCCGCGCCGUAGCUAACGCAUUAAGUGCCCCGCCUGGGGAGUACGGCCGCAAGGCUAAAACUCAAAGGAAUUGACGGGGGCCCGCACAAGCGGCGGAGCAUGCGGAUUAAUUCGAUGCAACGCGAAGAACCUUACCAAGGCUUGACAUUCACCGGACCGCCCCAGAGAUGGGGUUUCCCUUCGGGGCUGGUGGACAGGUGGUGCAUGGUUGUCGUCAGCUCGUGUCGUGAGAUGUUGGGUUAAGUCCCGCAACGAGCGCAACCCUCGUUCUAUGUUGCCAGCACGUGAUGGUGGGGACUCAUAGGAGACUGCCGGGGUCAACUCGGAGGAAGGUGGGGAUGACGUCAAAUCAUCAUGCCCCUUAUGUCUUGGGCUUCACGCAUGCUACAAUGGCCGGUACAAAGGGUUGCGAUACUGUGAGAGUGGAGCUAAUCCCAAAAAGCCGGUCUCAGUUCGGAUUGAGGUCUGCAACUCGACCUCAUGAAGUCGGAGUCGCUAGUAAUCGCAGAUCAGCAACGCUGCGGUGAAUACGUUCCCGGGCCUUGUACACACCGCCCGUCAAGUCACGAAAGUUGGUAACACCUGAAGCCGGUGGCCUAACCCCUUGUGGGAGGGAGC
This 1391-nucleotide ribosomal RNA is filed under the name Kocuria rosea. RNAcentral's name for it is "bacterial SSU rRNA". It matches the Rfam family "Bacterial small subunit ribosomal RNA". The record is from RNAcentral. Lineage: Bacteria; Bacillati; Actinomycetota; Actinomycetes; Micrococcales; Micrococcaceae.